GGGCGAAUAUCCAGGACACCUUCAUAUUGGAAUAGAACACGUUCGCGUGGAAGAUCCCAUUCUUGAAGGUGUUCACAGAAAAACAUGAUUUUUCCUUCUGUUAUUCUAACUGUCUUAUCAUGUCUCUCUUAUAUUUGUUUCUGAAUUUUCUUUCUUUCCUUAGCCGUGAAGAUCCCUGCUAAGAAAGCUGCUGUCGAAGCGUCGCCCAGUACUGCUAAGAAGCCUUCGACAAA
Molecule: long non-coding RNA, 233 nt
Filed under: Lathyrus oleraceus (garden pea)
Lineage: Eukaryota; Viridiplantae; Streptophyta; Magnoliopsida; Fabales; Fabaceae
Description: Pisum sativum (pea) long non-coding RNA (PSAT_LNC037667)
Source: RNAcentral